UUAAUGAAACUUGCCAAACACAAGUAUUUUAUGAUUUCAUGGCGUGUCUUUAACAUUUCAUGCAUGAAUGAGAAUCAGUGUGGCACUUCACAUCAUUGGAGCAUGAAUUAAAAGCGAAGGCUUUUACCGUAAUGAACUGUGGCUGGUCGUCAGUUAAUCUUAGUGAUUCUGAUCGUGAGGUCUAAAUAAUUUGUGGCCGACAAACAUGUACCUGAUUUGGUGGAGUCAUUGUGGUUUUAAUCAAUGUAUUAGAGGAACAAUGAGGCUAUUAUGCUGAUUUUGACCUAAUCCAAAUGAGUCAUUAUUUCUUAUAGACAAGUCUUUAAUCUAAUCACACUCUGUCGUUCACUCCAUAUGCUUCCCUAUUGCUCUCCACUCCUCUCUCCUUCAUACUCAGAAUAGGUCAAGGUGUCCUCCUCCCUCUAGCCAAGAUAACCGCAAAUGUAUGACAUCAUUGCUAAUGCCUCCAGCACGGACCACCACUUUAUCAUCCUUGCCGCUUUCCAUUCCCCUCCUGCUCACCUUACCUCUCCUGCUAUGAGCUGUACACUCACUCACCAUUAUCCUGCAAGGUUUCUCCAGAGACCUGCUGUAACUGCUAUUCGACAGACAUAACCGACUGUGUUUCAGGGAACUGUGUUUUUUUACACAAUAACCAAAGAGAUGAUGAUAACCAAAAACAAACAGAUGGCCAUAACCAAAAACAAACAGAUGUUUGUUGCCUUAGUAACCCGGGCAGGAACAGUAAAGGCUUCACCCUCUUUCCAGAAAAGCAACAGCUCAUUUGCAGGAUCCUUUGGAAGACUAAACAGGAACAGAAAACACCAUCCGUCUCGAUGAGAUCAUCAGUUUUGUGAGAUGGGUUUACCGACAUUAAAGUGCUGACGACAGCCGCCAUAAACAACACGGGUGUGCCCAACAUUAUCUCAAUACAUUGCCAUGAGAGCCUCAGCUAUUUUUGGGUUCAAGUCCAGCAUGAACUGGUUACAUGAGCAGGGUGGCAAAAGACAAGAGUCGCAAAGGAAACCGGCCACAAUGGACGGGGCGGCUGGCUUAGUCACAGAGGCCGGUCUGAGUCACGACAGCAGUGUCUGGCUUGUUGAUGUUCACGUCUGAGUGGUGGGCCAGCCUUUGUGUUUUUUACCUCUGUGAUUGUGCCAGUCUCUAUCUCUGUCUUUCCUCUUCUCUCUUUGUUCUGUUCCACUAUUUAUCUGAUCCUAUUCCUCUGUAAUUCACAAAUAUUGACUUGACUCAAGAGCUGCAGCACUCAUCUGCAUCUGCUUUUACUGUUCAUUUGUAUCUUGUUAAUGAAAAUGUCAUCAUCAAGCGAGCUGUCAUGGACACAGACAUAAAUAUCUCUUUCCUAAACACAGCUUGAGAGAAUGUCAAGUCAUUAACGUUGAGUGUCCCUAAAUCAGACCCUUCAGAAAAAAGUUAAAACAUUGCCUGCCGUCUGCAGUGCAAACUGGUCUUAAAUUGUCCACUCUGCGUUUUGGCUCAUCUAAAGCCUUUCACAACCAGCUAUUUCUAACUAAAACUUCAUGUUGAUAACAUAAACCGCGUUCAUUUACAGAGCAGAGCAAGUGAACACUUUGUUCUAUGAAAAUCUGUGUAAAUAAGCUUACAAAGCCCCGCUGCAUCUCCAUGAGACAAUGCCAUUAAACAGAAACAGUUUGCCCAGUUUCUCAUGCCAGCGUGGUUUUGUAACCAGUGUAAUUUAAUUAAGCUGGGCUUCACUGGAGCCGUUUACUGGCCUACAUGUAAACAUUAUCUCCUAAAACUACAGCAUCUUAAAUAGAUUUGUGUUUAGAAGCAUUUUAGUUACAGUCACAGAGAUCUUGGUGAAAGUGCA
Carassius auratus (goldfish) is the source of this 1852-nucleotide long non-coding RNA. RefSeq lists it as uncharacterized. NCBI's taxonomy places the organism in Eukaryota, Metazoa, Chordata, Actinopteri, Cypriniformes, Cyprinidae. The transcript is spliced from 3 exons. The record is from RefSeq and is a predicted model, not a curated record.